CAAUUUGCAUCAUCUUUGAGCAACCACUCCCGGAAGAAACUCCACCCUUGCUACGAUUAUAUUUCUUUAGAUGUUGGUCGGCUCACCUUUUUUUACAAAAAGGAGGAUUACCCCUGGCCUCUACAUCUGGACGAUGAAUGCAGCCAUUUUAUUAAUUAUUCACAAAGGCCUUACAAGUAGUACAUCCGUUUGUUCGAAGCCAUCAUCUUAGCAACAACUAUCGCUACUCCUAACCACUUGAUGAAGGGGUGCCGAUAGUGUCCGAGCCUAAUACCAAACAGACAUCGCACCAAAGCCUAACAUCUAAAGCCGGAGGCUCCAACCGAGCCACAUAUUGGAUUUAUGGUACAAACCGGUCCGAUGCACUCUCAUGUAUCGUCGCUCCCAUCUUCCACCAAUCCGUUUUCAGAGAAGAAACCAACACACCGACUUGCUAGACCUCUCUGCCAUCGACGCCACCAUGACGCCAGGGAGCUUCCACCUCCUGCACGAGUCAAUCUCCACGCAUCAGACACUGAGUCUCCGCUGCGCCACGCUGCCGAGAUCCACCGCCAUCAGUGAGUAAGAUGAAGCACAGCUCCACCAAAAAAGUCGUCCACCUACAAUGGUACUCUGUUUUCCAGUGUCUAUGUGAUGUGUAUUGAUGAAACCAACAUGAGAACUAAGCAUGGACUCGCUUGCAGGUGCCUCAGGUGCCAUUUUUAGUAUGAGGAUGUGCUACAGAUUAGAUUUCGCUCCGUUGUGC
Molecule: long non-coding RNA, 745 nt
Filed under: Hordeum vulgare
Lineage: Eukaryota; Viridiplantae; Streptophyta; Magnoliopsida; Poales; Poaceae
Description: long non-coding RNA (HVUL_LNC021691)
Source: RNAcentral